Long non-coding RNA from Oncorhynchus keta (chum salmon), 1031 nucleotides. RefSeq lists it as uncharacterized. The transcript has 3 exons. NCBI's taxonomy places the organism in Eukaryota, Metazoa, Chordata, Actinopteri, Salmoniformes, Salmonidae. The record is from RefSeq and is a predicted model, not a curated record.
CUCUGAACAAAGUCCAAACGUUGUUAAAAAUAUUAGUGCCCAGAGAAAUGCAUGUAUCCGAGCUGAAACCGGUAGAACACAACUCCCAAACAUUCCAGAAGACGCAGAACUGAACUUGACAGAGGAAAAAUACUCAAAUCCAGGUGAUGCACUAUCUGCUGGGUGGCCCCCAGGUUGGUGACCCCAUGGAGAAGCACUUACUCACUGCUGCAACCAAGUGGUCGUGCACUCCAUUGAAGGGGAAAACAAAUAGCCAGGGCUCUAAACCUGAACAAACAGUGUCAGCUGGGACCUGAGCCCUAGGACCAUGCCCCAGGACUACCUGACAUGAUGACUCCUUGCUGUCCCCAGUCCACCUGGCCAUGCUGCUGCUCCAGUUUCAACUGACCUGAGCCCUAGGACCAUUCCCCAGGACUACCUGACAUGAUGGCUCCUUGCUGUCCCCAGUCCACCUGGCCAUGCUGCUGCUCCAGUUUCAACUGUUCUGCCUUACUAUUAUUCGACCAUGCUGGUCAUUUAUGAACAUUUGAACAUCUUGGCCAUGUUCUGUUAUCAUUUCCACCCGGCACAGCCAGAAGAAGACUGGCCACCCCACAUAUGCUCUCUCUAAUUCUCUCUUUCUUUCUCUCUCUCGGAGGACCUGAGCCCUAGGACCAUGCCCCAGGACUACCUGACAUGAUGACUCCUUGCUGUCCCCAGUCCACCUGGCCAUGCUGCUGCUCCAGUUUCAACUGUUCUGCCUUACUAUUAUUCGACCAUGCUGGUCAUUUAUGAACAUUUUAACAUCUUGGCCAUGUUCUGUUAUCAUUUCCACCCGGCACAGCCAGAAGAGGACUGGCCACCCCACAUAGCCUGGUUCCUCUCUAGGUUUCUUCCUAGGUUUUGGCCUUUCUAGGGAGUUUUUCCUAGCCACCGUGCUUCUACACCUGCAUUGCUUGCUGUUUGGGGUUUUAGGCUGGGUUUCUGUACAGCACUUUGAGAUAUCAGCUGAUGUACGAAGGGCUAUAUAAAUACAUUUGAUUUGAAUUUGA